AUUGAACGCUGGCGGCAGGCCUAACACAUGCAAGUCGAACGGUAACAGGAAGAAGCUUGCUUCUUUGCUGACGAGUGGCGGACGGGUGAGUAAUGUCUGGGAAACUGCCUGAUGGAGGGGGAUAACUACUGGAAACGGUAGCUAAUACCGCAUAACGUCGCAAGACCAAAGAGGGGGACCUUCGGGCCUCUUGCCAUCGGAUGUGCCCAGAUGGGAUUAGCUAGUAGGUGGGGUAACGGCUCACCUAGGCGACGAUCCCUAGCUGGUCUGAGAGGAUGACCAGCCACACUGGAACUGAGACACGGUCCAGACUCCUACGGGAGGCAGCAGUGGGGAAUAUUGCACAAUGGGCGCAAGCCUGAUGCAGCCAUGCCGCGUGUAUGAAGAAGGCCUUCGGGUUGUAAAGUACUUUCAGCGGGGAGGAAGGGAGUAAAGUUAAUACCUUUGCUCAUUGACGUUACCCGCAGAAGAAGCACCGGCUAACUCCGUGCCAGCAGCCGCGGUAAUACAGAGGGUGCAAGCGUUAAUCGGAAUUACUGGGCGUAAAGCGCACGCAGGCGGUUUGUUAAGUCAGAUGUGAAAUCCCCGGGCUCAACCUGGGAACUGCAUCUGAUACUGGCAAGCUUGAGUCUCGUAGAGGGGGGUAGAAUUCCAGGUGUAGCGGUGAAAUGCGUAGAGAUCUGGAGGAAUACCGGUGGCGAAGGCGGCCCCCUGGACGAAGACUGACGCUCAGGUGCGAAAGCGUGGGGAGCAAACAGG
Molecule: ribosomal RNA, 759 nt
Filed under: uncultured Enterobacteriaceae bacterium
Lineage: Bacteria; Pseudomonadati; Pseudomonadota; Gammaproteobacteria; Enterobacterales; Enterobacteriaceae
Description: bacterial SSU rRNA
Rfam family: Bacterial small subunit ribosomal RNA
Source: RNAcentral